UACGUAGGGUGCGAGCGUUAAUCGGAAUUACUGGGCGUAAAGCGUGCGCAGGCGGUUAUAUAAGACAGAUGUGAAAUCCCCGGGCUCAACCUGGGACCUGCAUUUGUGACUGUAUAGCUAGAGUACGGUAGAGGGGGAUGGAAUUCCGCGCGUAGCAGUGAAAUGCGUAGAUAUGCGGAGGAACACCGAUGGCGAAGGCAAUCCCCUGGACCUGUACUGACGCUCAUGCACGAAAGCGUGGGGAGCAAACAGGAUUAGAACGA
This 263-nucleotide ribosomal RNA is filed under the name uncultured bacterium. Its description in RNAcentral is "partial 16S ribosomal RNA". It matches the Rfam family "Bacterial small subunit ribosomal RNA", at positions 524 to 784 of the family's 1533-position model. The record is from RNAcentral.